Molecule: ribosomal RNA, 798 nt
Filed under: uncultured Microcella sp.
Lineage: Bacteria; Bacillati; Actinomycetota; Actinomycetes; Micrococcales; Microbacteriaceae
Description: bacterial SSU rRNA
Rfam family: Bacterial small subunit ribosomal RNA
Source: RNAcentral
CCGUAACUGACGCUGAGGAGCGAAAGCGUGGGAGCGAACAGGAUUAGAUACCCUGGUAGUCCACGCCGUAAACGGUGGGUGCUAGCUGUGGGCCACAUUCCACGUGGUCCGUGACGAAGUUAACACAUUAAGCACCCCGCCUGGGGAGUACGGCCGCAAGGCUAAAACUCAAAGGAAUUGACGGGGGCCCGCACAAGCGGCGGAGCAUGCGGAUUAAUUCGAUGCAACGCGAAGAACCUUACCAAGGCUUGACAUAUAGAGGAAAAGUGCAGAAACGUACUCCCCGCAAGGUCUCUAUACAGGUGGUGCAUGGUUGUCGUCAGCUCGUGUCGUGAGAUGUUGGGUUAAGUCCCGCAACGAGCGCAACCCUCGUCCUAUGUUGCCAGCACGUAAUGGUGGGAACUCAUGGGAUACUGCCGGGGUCAACUCGGAGGAAGGUGGGGAUGACGUCAAAUCAUCAUGCCCCUUAUGUCUUGGGCUUCACGCAUGCUACAAUGGCCGGUACAGAGGGCUGCAAUACCGUAAGGUGGAGCGAAUCCCAAAAAGCCGGUCUCAGUUCGGAUUGAGGUCUGCAACUCGACCUCAUGAAGUCGGAGUCGCUAGUAAUCGUAGAUCAGCAACGCUACGGUGAAUACGUUCCCGGGCCUUGUACACACCGCCCGUCAAGUCACGAAAGUCGGUAACACCCGAAGCCGGUGGCCUAACCGUAAGGAGGGAGCCGUCGAAGGUGGGAUUGGUGAUUGGGACUAAGUCGUAACAAGGUAGCCGUACCGGAAGGUGUGGCUGGAUCACCUCCUU